UAUUUGAUACUUUUUGCAGACGACACUGUCUUAUUUGCCAAAUCUGCCAAACUUCUUCAACAGCUACUUGACAAACUAUCCAAACACUGUAGAAAAUGGAACAUAGAAGUUAACACUGAUAAAACUAAAAUAGUUGUGUUUAGAAAUGGAUGGCAACCUGUAAACAAUCAAUUCAUGUAUAAUAAUCAAGAACUUCAAAUUGUGAAUUCAUACGUUUACCUUGGAAUGUUGCUGCACUUUAACGGGAAAUUCUUACACACGCAAAAGCGACUAUCCCAACAAGGAUCAAGAGCUCUCUCAUCACUCUUAAAAUGUUUAGAUAAUAUUUACAUUUCUACAAAGCAACAAUGUCUUCUUUAUGACAGUAUGGUUGGAUCGGUACUGAACUAUUCUUCCGAAAUAUGGGGUUUUCACCGUGACAACGACAUAGAGAUUAUUCAUAACCGUUUUUUGUAGGUUUGUUUUAAAAUUAGGUAAACGUGCUCCUAUUAGUUUUCUUUGUGGCGGGCUUGGUCAUCUACCUAUGUAUAUUUUGAGAAAACAAUUAAUCUUAAAAUAUUGGUUACGUAUUGUUAUAUAUAAACCAGCUUUUGUAUAUGAUGUAUAUAAAAU
RNAcentral lists this long non-coding RNA (612 nucleotides) under Mytilus galloprovincialis (Mediterranean mussel). Lineage: Eukaryota; Metazoa; Mollusca; Bivalvia; Mytilida; Mytilidae. The record is from RNAcentral.